Long non-coding RNA from Ceratitis capitata (Mediterranean fruit fly), 835 nucleotides. RefSeq lists it as uncharacterized. The transcript is spliced from 2 exons. Lineage: Eukaryota; Metazoa; Arthropoda; Insecta; Diptera; Tephritidae. The record is from RefSeq and is a predicted model, not a curated record.
UACUCAUAAAGAAAAUUACAAACAAAGUAUUAUAAACAUAAUUUACAAAGUGUUCUUAGAAACGAGUAAAACUUCAAUUUAGCUAAUUAACUAUCAUCUGUAAUUUUUACUUUCCUUUAUAGCAAACGAGCUAUCGACUAAUCGGAAGCAGGGGUUAUAUAAAAAACCGAAUAGAUUCACUACAGUGACCACAUUGUCCCCAUGGACUAUUCGACUUCUUCUUCAAACCUGUCUCAAAAACAAACUGCAUACCUCAUAACCUCUUCAGCGAAUUACAAUCUCAUUAAGUUCAUUCAUAGUCCAUUCGUGAUAAAAAAAAUGCAUUGUCACCAUAUCAACACAACCUCAUAACCUUUAAAUUUUAAAUCACUAUUCGGUAUUUACAACAUUUUAGUAAAAUUAUAAUUUUAGUUUGACAACCAAUAGCAUUAAAGCAAGAAAGCAAUACACUCACACGAGUAGCACUAAACAUAUGCAUUUUUUUUUUUACCUUUCUCCGCUGGGUACAUACAUAUUGAAACUACUUAACUUUUCAUUGUUCUUUAAAUUUUUUUAUUUAAGAGCACCCCAUAUUGUACGGAAAAUUCAGCUAAUGGAGUAGGUUGGCUGGAACGGACGAUUCUCACCUUGCAGCAAAAGCAGAUCUUAAAAUAUUCAGCCAAACUUUGCGAGACGCAUUUAAACUUCAAUAUAUAUGUAUGUACAUAUACAUAUUAUGACGGAGGCUUUCGUAUAGCUGGACUUCUGCUUAUCCGGUUUAGCUUGUCUAUGCUAUAUAAACCAUGUACCUAUAUGUAUGUCAAAUAUUGAAAUAAAGACUGAAUCUUUUGGCAAA